AGCUUUGCACAGUGGCAGUAUCGUAGCCAAUGAGGUUUACCCAAGGUGCGAUUAUUGCUAAUUGAAAACCAAAAGGUUCUUGGUCACAAAUUUUAUAACCAAAUAUAAUCUAGAAAUUAGACUAACGUUU
This is a small nuclear RNA of Fukomys damarensis (Damara mole-rat), 130 nucleotides long. Its record names the gene U4. It matches the Rfam family "U4 spliceosomal RNA". From Rfam's summary of the family: U4 small nuclear RNA (U4 snRNA) is a component of the major U2-dependent spliceosome. The structure of U4 snRNA from yeast and human has been reported. The record is from Ensembl. NCBI's taxonomy places the organism in Eukaryota, Metazoa, Chordata, Mammalia, Rodentia, Bathyergidae.